RNAcentral lists this ribosomal RNA (573 nucleotides) under Pseudonocardia sp. RNAcentral describes it as "bacterial SSU rRNA". It matches the Rfam family "Bacterial small subunit ribosomal RNA", at positions 44 to 634 of the family's 1533-position model. The record is from RNAcentral. Lineage: Bacteria; Bacillati; Actinomycetota; Actinomycetes; Pseudonocardiales; Pseudonocardiaceae.
GUGCUUACACAUGCAGUCGAGCGGUAAGGCCCUUUCGGGGGUACACGAGCGGCGAACGGGUGAGUAACACGUGGGUGACCUGCCCUCCACUCUGGGAUAAGCCCGGGAAACUGGGUCUAAUACCGGAUAGGACCACUGAUCGCAUGGUUGGUGGUGGAAAGUUUUUUCGGUGGGGGAUGGGCCCGCGGCCUAUCAGCUUGUUGGUGGGGUGAUGGCCUACCAAGGCGGUGACGGGUAGCCGGCCUGAGAGGGCGACCGGCCACACUGGGACUGAGACACGGCCCAGACUCCUACGGGAGGCAGCAGUGGGGAAUAUUGCGCAAUGGGCGGAAGCCUGACGCAGCGACGCCGCGUGGGGGAUGACGGCCUUCGGGUUGUAAACCUCUUUCGCCAGGGACGAAGAGCAAUUGACGGUACCUGGAGAAGAAGCACCGGCCAACUACGUGCCAGCAGCCGCGGUAACACGUAGGGUGCGAGCGUUGUCCGGAAUUAUUGGGCGUAAAGAGCUCGUAGGCGGUGUGUCGCGUCGGCCGUGAAAACUUGGGGCUUAACUCUGAGCGUGCGGUCGAUACG